This 373-nucleotide long non-coding RNA is filed under the name Linum usitatissimum (flax). Its description in RNAcentral is "long non-coding RNA (LUSI_LNC004759)". Lineage: Eukaryota; Viridiplantae; Streptophyta; Magnoliopsida; Malpighiales; Linaceae. The record is from RNAcentral.
AGCAGCAGUGUCAUUCCAGCUAGACUUCUCUGGUUCCUUUUCAGUAUUAGCUUUAGCCCUCCAAUCCGACCCACGCUUGUCAGCUUCUUUUUUCUCACUUGUCUGCCAAGUAGCAGGUUUAUCCCAAGUAGACUUCUCAGCAGGGUUUUCCCAAGUAGACUUCUCAGCAGGUCUAUCCCAAGUAGACUUCUCAGCAGGUUUAUCCCAAGUAGACUUCUCAGCAAGUUUAUCCCAAGUAGACUUCUCAGCAGGUAUAUCCCAGGUAGACUUCUCAGAUUCAGCUUGAGUUCUUGACCCAGCUGCUCCCCAUCCACCAGGUACCUCUAAGGCACCGGAAGUACUUACCUUGGUAUCCCAGUCAGAUUUGCAAGAU